This 486-nucleotide ribosomal RNA is filed under the name uncultured bacterium. Its description in RNAcentral is "partial 16S ribosomal RNA". It matches the Rfam family "Bacterial small subunit ribosomal RNA", at positions 30 to 503 of the family's 1533-position model. The record is from RNAcentral.
AUUGAACGCUGGCGGCAGGCCUAACACAUGCAAGUCGAACGGUAACAGGAAACAGCUUGCUGUUUCGCUGACGAGUGGCGGACGGGUGAGUAAUGUCUGGGAAACUGCCUGAUGGAGGGGGAUAACUACUGGAAACGGUAGCUAAUACCGCAUAACGUCGCAAGACCAAAGAGGGGGACCUUCGGGCCUCUUGCCAUCGGAUGUGCCCAGAUGGGAUUAGCUAGUAGGUGGGGUAACGGCUCACCUAGGCGACGAUCCCUAGCUGGUCUGAGAGGAUGACCAGCCACACUGGAACUGAGACACGGUCCAGACUCCUACGGGAGGCAGCAGUGGGGAAUAUUGCACAAUGGGCGCAAGCCUGAUGCAGCCAUGCCGCGUGUAUGAAGAAGGCCUUCGGGUUGUAAAGUACUUUCAGCGGGGAGGAAGGGAGUAAAGUUAAUACCUUUACUCAUUGACGUUACCCGCAGAAGAAGCACCGGCUAACUC